RNAcentral lists this long non-coding RNA (215 nucleotides) under Elaeis guineensis (African oil palm). Its description in RNAcentral is "long non-coding RNA (EGUI_LNC029930)". Lineage: Eukaryota; Viridiplantae; Streptophyta; Magnoliopsida; Arecales; Arecaceae. The record is from RNAcentral.
AGAUCUGGCCAUGGAGGUCGUAGAUCGCCUCGUGGAUGCCUUUCGGGGAGGUAUCGGAUUGGGAUCUGGCCGGAGAAGAAGAAGAAGAUAUCGAAGAAAAUGAUCGGAGAUAGUCCCGUUGAGUACUCCUUUAAGAGCAAGGAUCCUGCGAAGACACAACCCUUCCUCUAGCAUCAAUUCUAUUGGUGCAGAAUUCCAUCAUGCCAGAGAAACUG